UACGUAGGGUCCGAGCGUUGUCCGGAAUUACUGGGCGUAAAGAGCUCGUAGGUGGUUUGUCGCGUUGUUCGUGAAAACUCACAGCUUAACUGUGGGCGUGCGGGCGAUACGGGCAGACUGGAGUACUGCAGGGGAGACUGGAAUUCCUGGUGUAGCGGUGGAAUGCGCAGAUAUCGGGAGGAACACCGAUGGCGAAGGCAGAUCUCUGGGCAGUAACUGACGCUGAGGAGCGAAAGCGUGGGGAGCGAACAGG
RNAcentral lists this ribosomal RNA (253 nucleotides) under uncultured bacterium. RNAcentral's name for it is "partial 16S ribosomal RNA". It matches the Rfam family "Bacterial small subunit ribosomal RNA", at positions 524 to 776 of the family's 1533-position model. The record is from RNAcentral.